This 497-nucleotide ribosomal RNA is filed under the name uncultured bacterium. RNAcentral's name for it is "partial 16S ribosomal RNA". It matches the Rfam family "Bacterial small subunit ribosomal RNA", at positions 28 to 507 of the family's 1533-position model. The record is from RNAcentral.
GAUGAACGCUGACGGCGUGCCUAAUACAUGCAAGUCGAGCGAACAGACGAGGAGCUUGCUCCUCUGACGUUAGCGGCGGACGGGUGAGUAACACGUGGAUAACCUACCUAUAAGACUGGGAUAACUUCGGGAAACCGGAGCUAAUACCGGAUAAUAUAUUGAACCGCAUGGUUCAAUAGUGAAAGACGGUUUUGCUGUCACUUAUAGAUGGAUCCGCGCCGCAUUAGCUAGUUGGUAAGGUAACGGCUUACCAAGGCAACGAUGCGUAGCCGACCUGAGAGGGUGAUCGGCCACACUGGAACUGAGACACGGUCCAGACUCCUACGGGAGGCAGCAGUAGGGAAUCUUCCGCAAUGGGCGAAAGCCUGACGGAGCAACGCCGCGUGAGUGAUGAAGGUCUUCGGAUCGUAAAACUCUGUUAUUAGGGAAGAACAAAUGUGUAAGUAACUAUGCACGUCUUGGCGGUACCUAAUCAGAAAGCCACGGCUAACUACGUG